Molecule: transfer RNA, 73 nt
Filed under: Ardenticatenia bacterium
Lineage: Bacteria; Bacillati; Chloroflexota; Ardenticatenia
Description: tRNA-Lys
Rfam family: tRNA
About the family: Transfer RNA (tRNA) molecules are approximately 80 nucleotides in length.
Source: RNAcentral
GGGCCGCUAGCUCAACUGGCAGAGCAACUGACUCUUAAUCAGUAGGUUCCAGGUUCGAUUCCUGGGCGGCUCA